AUUGAACGCUGGCGGCAGGCCUAACACAUGCAAGUCGAGCGGAUGAAGGGAGCUUGCUCCUGGAUUCAGCGGCGGACGGGUGAGUAAUGCCUAGGAAUCUGCCUGGUAGUGGGGGAUAACGUCCGGAAACGGGCGCUAAUACCGCAUACGUCCUGAGGGAGAAAGUGUGGGAUCUUCGGACCUCACGCUAUCAGAUGAGCCUAGGUCGGAUUAGCUAGUUGGUGGGGUAAAGGCCUACCAAGGCGACGAUCCGUAACUGGUCUGAGAGGAUGAUCAGUCACACUGGAACUGAGACACGGUCCAGACUCCUACGGGAGGCAGCAGUGGGGAAUAUUGGACAAUGGGCGAAAGCCUGAUCCAGCCAUGCCGCGUGUGUGAAGAAGGUCUUCGGAUUGUAAAGCAAUUUAAGUUGGGAGGAAGGGCAGUAAGUUAAUACCUUGCUGUUUUGACGUUACCAACAGAAUAAGCACCGGCUAACUUCGUG
Molecule: ribosomal RNA, 484 nt
Filed under: uncultured bacterium
Lineage: Bacteria
Description: partial 16S ribosomal RNA
Rfam family: Bacterial small subunit ribosomal RNA
Source: RNAcentral